Molecule: unclassified non-coding RNA, 266 nt
Filed under: Paraglomus occultum
Lineage: Eukaryota; Fungi; Glomeromycota; Glomeromycetes; Paraglomerales; Paraglomeraceae
Description: partial contains 5.8S ribosomal RNA and internal transcribed spacer 2
Rfam family: 5.8S ribosomal RNA (bases 1-65)
Source: RNAcentral
GUGAAUCAUCGAAUUUUUGAACGCAAAUUGCGCCUUUUUCGGAAGGCAUGUCUGUUUGAGUGCACCAUUUAACAAAUAAUGUGCAUUUCGUGCGCACACGUUGAUGAGCUUUCCAAAUUUAUGUAUUAUUUUUGAUUUCGCGUAAUAAACAGCGCGAUACUUGUAUCAGUUCGAGUGUAUUAAAAUUUUUUCUUGCUUGGGUUUUUAAAAGCGUGAUCGCACAAUGGGUAUUGCAAUUUUAUUUAAUCCCUACCCCAACGCCACUC